GACGAACGCUGGCGGCGUGCCUAAUACAUGCAAGUUGAGCGCUGAAGGUUGGUACUUGUACCCACUGGAUGAGCAGCGAACGGGUGAGUAACGCGUGGGGAAUCUGCCUUUGAGCGGGGGACAACAUUUGGAAACGAAUGCUAAUACCGCAUAAAAACUUUAAACACAAGAUUUAAGUUUGAAAGAUGCAAUUGCCUCACUCAAAGAUGAUCCCGCGUUGUAUUAGCUAGUUGGUGAGGUAAAGGCUCACCAAGGCGAUGAUACAUAGCCGACCUGAGAGGGUGAUCGACCACAUUGGGACUGAGACACGGCCCAAACUCCUACGGGAAGCAGCAGUAGGGAAUCUUCGGAAAUGGACGAAAGUCUUACCGAGCAACGCCGCGUGAGGGAAGAAGGUUUUCGGAUCGUAAAACUCUGUUGGUAGAGAAGAACGUUGGUGAGAGUGGAAAGCUCAUCAAGUGACGGUAACUACCCAGAAAGGGACGGCUAACUACGUG
Molecule: ribosomal RNA, 497 nt
Filed under: uncultured bacterium
Lineage: Bacteria
Description: partial 16S ribosomal RNA
Rfam family: Bacterial small subunit ribosomal RNA
Source: RNAcentral